Molecule: ribosomal RNA, 301 nt
Filed under: uncultured bacterium
Lineage: Bacteria
Description: partial 16S ribosomal RNA
Rfam family: Bacterial small subunit ribosomal RNA
Source: RNAcentral
CAGCCGCCGCGGUAAAACGAAGGGUGCAAGCGUUAAUCGGAAUUACUGGGCGUAAAGCGUGCGUAGGCGGUUUGUUAAGUCUGUUGUGAAAUCCCCGGGCUCAACCUGGGAAUGGCAAUGGAUACUGGCAAGCUAGAGUGUGUCAGAGGAUGGUGGAAUUCCCGGUGUAGCGGUGAAAUGCGUAGAGAUCGGGAGGAACAUCAGUGGCGAAGGCGGCCAUCUGGGACAACACUGACGCUGAGGCACGAAAGCGUGGGGAGCAAACAGGAUUAGAGACCCCCGUAGUCCCUGUCUCUUAUAC